RNAcentral lists this ribosomal RNA (305 nucleotides) under uncultured bacterium. RNAcentral's name for it is "bacterial SSU rRNA". It matches the Rfam family "Bacterial small subunit ribosomal RNA", at positions 337 to 656 of the family's 1533-position model. The record is from RNAcentral.
UCCUACGGGAGGCAGCAGUGGGGAAUAUUGGGCAAUGGGCGCAAGCCUGACCCAGCAACGCCGCGUGAAGGAAGAAGGCUUUCGGGUUGUAAACUUCUUUUCUCAGGGACGAAGCCAGUGACGGUACCUGAGGAAUAAGCCACGGCCAACUACGUGCCAGCAGCCGCGGUAAUACGUAGGUGGCAAGCGUUAUCCGGAUUUACUGGGUGUAAAGGGCGUGUAGGCGGGACUGCAAGUCAGAUGUGAAAACCAUGGGCUCAACCUAUGGCCUGCAUUUGAAACUGGAGUUCUUGAGUACUGGAGAG